UACGGAGGAUGCGAGCGUUAUCCGGAUUUAUUGGGUUUAAAGGGUGCGUAGGCGGGCUGUUAAGUCAGCGGUCAAAUGUCGGGGCUCAACCCCGGCCUGCCGUUGAAACUGGCGGCCUCGAGUGGGCGAGAAGUAUGCGGAAUGCGUGGUGUAGCGGUGAAAUGCAUAGAUAUUGCGCAGAACUCCGAUUGCGAAGGCAGCCUACCGGCUUCUGUCUGACGCUGAGGCACGAAAGCGUGGGUAUCAAACAGG
RNAcentral lists this ribosomal RNA (252 nucleotides) under uncultured Bacteroidales bacterium. Its description in RNAcentral is "partial 16S ribosomal RNA". It matches the Rfam family "Bacterial small subunit ribosomal RNA", at positions 524 to 776 of the family's 1533-position model. The record is from RNAcentral. Lineage: Bacteria; Pseudomonadati; Bacteroidota; Bacteroidia; Bacteroidales.